AACGAACGCUGGCGGCGCGCCUAAUACAUGCAAGUCGAGCGAGAAGACGUAGCAAUACGUUUGUAAAGCGGCGAACGGGUGAGGAAUACAUGGGUAACCUACCCUCGAGUGGGGAAUAACUAGCCGAAAGGUUAGCUAAUACCGCGUACGCUCCUUGGACUUCGGUUCAGGGAGGAAAGCGAUACCGUGGGUAUCGCGCUCUUGGAUGGGCUCAUGUCCUAUCAGCUUGUUGGUGAGGUAACGGCUCACCAAGGCUUCGACGGGUAGCUGGUCUGAGAGGACAAUCAGCCACACUGGCACUGCGACACGGGCCAGACUCCUACGGGAGGCAGCAGUAAGGAAUAUUGCGCAAUGGGCGAAAGCCUGACGCAGCGACGCCGCGUGGGGGAUGAAGGUCUUCGGAUUGUAAACCCCUUUCGGGAGGGAAGA
Molecule: ribosomal RNA, 429 nt
Filed under: uncultured bacterium
Lineage: Bacteria
Description: bacterial SSU rRNA
Rfam family: Bacterial small subunit ribosomal RNA
Source: RNAcentral